RNAcentral lists this unclassified non-coding RNA (313 nucleotides) under fungal sp. RNAcentral describes it as "partial contains 5.8S ribosomal RNA, internal transcribed spacer 2, and large subunit ribosomal RNA". The stretch from base 1 to 105 matches the Rfam family "5.8S ribosomal RNA", at positions 50 to 154 of the family's 154-position model. RNAcentral also lists the same sequence under 3 other names. The record is from RNAcentral. Lineage: Eukaryota; Fungi.
GAAAUGCGAUAAGUAAUGUGAAUUGCAGAAUUCAGUGAAUCAUCGAGUCUUUGAACGCACAUUGCGCCCCCUGGUAUUCCGGGGGGCAUGCCUGUCCGAGCGUCAUUGCUGCCCUCAAGCACGGCUUGUGUGUUGGGCUUCGCCCCCCGGCUCCCGGGGGGCGGGCCCGAAAGGCAGCGGCGGCACCGCGUCCGGUCCUCGAGCGUAUGGGGCUUCGUCACCCGCUCUGUAGGCCCGGCCGGCGCCCGCCGGCGACCCCAAUCAAUCUUUCCAGGUUGACCUCGGAUCAGGUAGGGAUACCCGCUGAACUUAA